GGUACUUGUACCUGGUGGCGAGCGGCGGACGGGUGAGUAAUGCCUAGGAAUCUGCCUGGUAGUGGGGGAUAACGCUCGGAAACGGACGCUAAUACCGCAUACGUCCUACGGGAGAAAGCAGGGGACCUUCGGGCCUUGCGCUAUCAGAUGAGCCUAGGUCGGAUUAGCUAGUUGGUGAGGUAAUGGCUCACCAAGGCGACGAUCCGUAACUGGUCUGAGAGGAUGAUCAGUCACACUGGAACUGAGACACGGUCCAGACUCCUACGGGAGGCAGCAGUGGGGAAUAUUGGACAAUGGGCGAAAGCCUGAUCCAGCCAUGCCGCGUGUGUGAAGAAGGUCUUCGGAUUGUAAAGCACUUUAAGUUGGGAGGAAGGGCAGUUACCUAAUACGUAUCUGUUUUGACGUUACCGACAGAAUAAGCACCGGCUAACUCUGUGCCAGCAGCCGCGGUAAUACAGAGGGUGCAAGCGUUAAUCGGAAUUACUGGGCGUAAAGCGCGCGUAGGUGGUUUGUUAAGUUGAAUGUGAAAUCCCCGGGUUUAACCUGGGAACCGGAUCCCAAAUGGGAAAGCUUAAGAUGGUAAAAGGCGG
RNAcentral lists this ribosomal RNA (590 nucleotides) under Pseudomonas sp. LL10. RNAcentral's name for it is "bacterial SSU rRNA". It matches the Rfam family "Bacterial small subunit ribosomal RNA", at positions 75 to 660 of the family's 1533-position model. Lineage: Bacteria; Pseudomonadati; Pseudomonadota; Gammaproteobacteria; Pseudomonadales; Pseudomonadaceae. The record is from RNAcentral.